Molecule: ribosomal RNA, 253 nt
Filed under: uncultured bacterium
Lineage: Bacteria
Description: partial 16S ribosomal RNA
Rfam family: Bacterial small subunit ribosomal RNA
Source: RNAcentral
UACGGAGGAUGCAAGCGUUAUCCGGAAUGAUUGGGCGUAAAGCGUCCGCAGGUGGCUGUGUAAGUCUGCUGUUAAAGAGUCUAGCUCAACUAGAUAAAGGCAGUGGAAACUACACGGCUAGAGUGCGUUCGGGGCAGAGGGAAUUCCUGGUGUAGCGGUGAAAUGCGUAGAGAUCAGGAAGAACACCGGUGGCGAAGGCGGUUCUCUGGGAAUGACCUGACGCUGAGGAGCGAAAGUGUGGGGAGCGAACAGG